GCAGCAUUUCUGACAGGGUUUCAAAGUAUAAAGUCUUCACCAACAGAGCUCAGAAUAACAACAAUUUAUCCGUGUGUUGUCUCUGCAUCUGAACAUUGCUCCCAUGUCCUAUUGCCUUACCCCUGUUCAUUCGGCCCAUGUCCUGAAGAUGGAUUGCAUCUGAACAUUGCACCCAUGUACUAUUGCCUUACCUUGUCAGACCACCCAGAUGUUCUGCAACACAUACCCAGCUGUCCUUUGGAUCAAUUUAAUUGUAGUUUGAUACUGAAAAUCAAAUGUAUGUGUUUAAAUAACCUUGGCCUUGGAAUAUCAGAUUAGUCUUGUUAGAUCUCUCUGCCAAGAAAAGAAAAGAAAAGAAUGUUCACAUAUCACCACUGCCAACAUAGAACUAAUAUAUUUGCUACUUAGGCUACUAACUCCACAUGUCACCAUGGAAACUGCAUGUUUACUUAAUUACAUUGGCUUUUGUAUGUAUCCAGGUCAUAUAUUGUACAUGGGACUGUGCAUUACCAGAUAUUUGGUAGGAACCAUGGUGCGUAAAUUAUUCAAAUUAGAUGCCAUUUUGUGUCGAAUACUUAUUUCUAGUCUAAAAUAAUCGAUGUGAUAUGGAGGUUGUACGUGGGUCAUGUCUGGAUAACAUAGGCUGGGAAACAUAUAUUGUUCAAGAAAUCAGCGUUUAAAGAUGUUUUAAUUGUAUUUCUUCCGCUUUUUGAUACACUGUUCAUAUCAUUUGGAUAAUAAGGUUUUUGACAGUCAUAAGUAAACAAGUCACUUACACUGGGAUGUGGAAUUAUUUUUCAAUGUUUUCUCUCAAGUCUCAACCUAUUGUAAAAAGAAUGAAUCAUUGAUCGAAAAAGGGAGAAAAAAAAAAGAUAUAAAGCAAGGAGUUUCGUAUAAUGGGCCGGAGAGUUGAGGAAGAAAGAGAGGUUAAUUACUUAAUGUAGGUUAUUUGAGAAAAUCUUAGCCAUUGAACACUACUCAACUUCUCCCAACAAAAAUAAACAAUACGCGAGGAAAUCCGACAAUUAGAAACAUAUUUUGGAAAUAUCUAAUCUCCACCUCCCAAAGUCCAAUCAUAUAUCUAAACUGUUCAUGAAAUAUUCUUAAAUAUGUUUAUGUUUGAAUAUUAUAAAAUCUAUUACAGAAUCAUGGAUUUGAAUUUGUACCUUCUCUGCUAGUUGUAGCAGCUGAAACAUGAUUGCAAACUGGAUAUAGUUGGUGAAGUGUCCUUCCAAAU
Molecule: long non-coding RNA, 1237 nt
Filed under: Aquilegia coerulea
Lineage: Eukaryota; Viridiplantae; Streptophyta; Magnoliopsida; Ranunculales; Ranunculaceae
Description: long non-coding RNA (ACOE_LNC000445)
Source: RNAcentral